UUUUUUUCCUUUUCUUUCUUCAUUCCUUCUAGUAGAAGAGGGAUGCGGAAGAUUUUCUCAUAGAAUUAGUUUAGAAAGUAAUAAAAAGAGGUAAUAAUUAUGUUCCUAAACUGGCUGGAACCAAAAUAUGCGGUGGUAGAACAGUUGCAUCUAGUGGAGUCAUUUGUCUUGAAACAAGGAACGUCUACCAUCCACCAAAUGUCCCAUUGACCUUCUACUGGGCUGGUAGAACAGCCACCUGCCUGGAAGCAUCUGAUAAAGGCCUUUUUCUUCUCCAUGCAUGCAGUUUGUUUCACACAAAUUACUGUAUAGUUUGCACUGGAAAUCUGCAGGCUGACUCCAGGGCAGACUGA
This 353-nucleotide long non-coding RNA is filed under the name Anas platyrhynchos platyrhynchos (common mallard). RNAcentral describes it as "lncRNA (ENSAPLG00000020715.1)". The record is from RNAcentral. Lineage: Eukaryota; Metazoa; Chordata; Aves; Anseriformes; Anatidae.